AGCCAGUGGGGGGGUGCUUACACAUGCAAGUCGACGGUAAGGCCCUUCGGGGUACACGAGUGGCGAACGGGUGAGUAACACGUGGGUGAUCUGCCCUGCACUUUGGGAUAAGCCUGGGAAACUGGGUCUAAUACCGAAUAGGACUCCGGACUGCAUGGUCUGGGGUGGAAAGCUUUUGCGGUGUGGGAUGGGCCCGCGGCCUAUCAGCUUGUUGGUGGGGUGAUGGCCUACCAAGGCGACGACGGGUAGCCGGCCUGAGAGGGUGACCGGCCACACUGGGACUGAGAUACGGCCCAGACUCCUACGGGAGGCAGCAGUGGGGAAUAUUGCACAAUGGGCGCAAGCCUGAUGCAGCGACGCCGCGUGGGGGAUGACGGCCUUCGGGUUGUAAACCUCUUUCAGCACAGACGAAGCGCAAGUGACGGUAUGUGCAGAAGAAGGACCGGCCAACUACGUGCCAGCAGCCGCGGUAAUACGUAGGGUCCGAGCGUUGUCCGGAAUUACUGGGCGUAAAGAGCUCGUAGGUGGUUUGUCGCGUUGUUCGUGAAAACUCACAACUCAAUUGUGGGCGUGCGGGCGAUACGGGCAGACUGGAGUACUGCAGGGGAGACUGGAAUUCCUGGUGUAGCGGUGGAAUGCGCAGAUAUCAGGAGGAACACCGGUGGCGAAGGCGGGUCUCUGGGCAGUAACUGACGCUGAGGAGCGAAAGCGUGGGGAGCGAACAGGAUUAGAUACCCUGGUAGUCCACGCCGUAAACGGUGGGUACUAGGGUGUGGGUUUCCUUCCUUGGGAUCCGUGCCGUAGCUAACGCAUUAAGUACCCCGCCUGGGGAGUACGGCCGCAAGGCUAAAACUCAAAGAAAUUGACGGGGGCCCGCACAAGCGGCGGAGCAUGUGGAUUAAUUCGAUGCAACGCGAAGAACCCCACCUGGGUUUGACAUGCACAGGACGCCGGCAGAGAUGUCGGUUCCCUUGUGGCCUGUGUGCAGGUGGUGCAUGGCUGUCGUCAGCUCGUGUCCUGAAAUGUUUGGGUUAAGUCCCGCAACGAGCGCAACCCUUGUCCUAUGUUGCCAGCGGGGUUAUGCCCGGGGACUUCGUAGGAGAA
This 1104-nucleotide ribosomal RNA is filed under the name uncultured bacterium. RNAcentral's name for it is "bacterial SSU rRNA". It matches the Rfam family "Bacterial small subunit ribosomal RNA", at positions 31 to 1149 of the family's 1533-position model. The record is from RNAcentral.